CUGGGAUAUGUGGCAACUGUCCUGACCUGCAGCUGAAGCUAGUGGCCAGGAUAGUCAGGUGACACAAGAAUGAAGCCAUGAAAGAUAUUAUUGGGAGUUGUAGCAGUUUGGAAGCCAGGCAUAGUCUUCCUACAGUGGAUACACAUCCAACCACAGAUGUCUCCAUCAGGGCCCAUCAGUCUGUGAUAUUUGAACUUUAGAAAACAGUUGGAAUUAUCUGAUGACUUCUAAAGAGCCACAGAUCUGUAAUUCUUAGCGGGAGACAAAGCAGCAGGAUUGCAUGCCCAGGAAGGCAAAUGUGUAUCCUUUAUUGUCCCUAUUCUCUGCCCCACCUUGUGUUUUCUGGUCACCUAUACCCCAGAACCCCUCGCCACGUGGUCUUAAGGCCUUAAAAAUUUUCUUUAAAUUUUAUUAAAAGGGGAAUCUUCA
Molecule: non-coding RNA, 429 nt
Organism: Microcebus murinus (gray mouse lemur)
Lineage: Eukaryota; Metazoa; Chordata; Mammalia; Primates; Cheirogaleidae
Source: RefSeq, a predicted model, not a curated record